Long non-coding RNA from Frieseomelitta varia, 330 nucleotides. RefSeq lists it as uncharacterized. The record is from RefSeq and is a predicted model, not a curated record. NCBI's taxonomy places the organism in Eukaryota, Metazoa, Arthropoda, Insecta, Hymenoptera, Apidae. The transcript is spliced from 2 exons.
UCAUACAUUUAAAGACAGAGGUCGUACAACUGGACAACUGAUCGAUCGAAACGCAGUCGCGUUUCAGACUUCGGACGAGAAAGACAUAUGUGAAAAGAGCUAGACUGCUCAAACCAAGUUCCGAUUCCCAAAUUCAAACAGUCCCAAUCAUUUUCUUGCAUGUAAUCCCACUUCAGAUUUAAUGGAUUAAAAGUGAACUAGAAACAACAAAUGAUGAAAACAAAAGCUUGAAAUAUUAGUGUGUAUAAAAUUGCAAAUUUACAUGAAUAAAAUCCAAAAUAUACAAGGCAGACUGCAAUAUAUUACGCAAUUCACACGCAUCAAUUGAAU